GGGGAAUUAGCUCAGUGGUAGAGCGCUUGCUUAGCACUUGUGAAUGCAUGAGGCCGUGGGUUCAAUUCCCACAUUCUCCA
This 80-nucleotide transfer RNA is filed under the name Malassezia furfur. RNAcentral's name for it is "tRNA-Ala". It matches the Rfam family "tRNA". Rfam says of the family: Transfer RNA (tRNA) molecules are approximately 80 nucleotides in length. Their secondary structure includes four short double-helical elements and three loops (D, anti-codon, and T loops). The record is from RNAcentral. Lineage: Eukaryota; Fungi; Basidiomycota; Malasseziomycetes; Malasseziales; Malasseziaceae. RNAcentral also lists the same sequence under 1 other name.